This is a non-coding RNA of Schizosaccharomyces pombe (fission yeast), 528 nucleotides long. The record is from the annotation of a GenBank genome assembly. Lineage: Eukaryota; Fungi; Ascomycota; Schizosaccharomycetes; Schizosaccharomycetales; Schizosaccharomycetaceae.
ACACCUCUAAAGAAUUCAUAAGCUUCCAGUAUACUGGUGAGAUAACCAUGAAAAACAGUACAAAAACUGAGAUCGUAAGUCUAAGUAAGUAGUCGGUUAGUAUGCAUCAUUAAGAAAACGUGUUAAACAUUGGCAUAUUAUAUCAACGAACGUUGAAUUUAACUACAUGCAAAGGUAUAACAUUAUCAACCCUAAAAAUUGCAGAUACGUCUUUUGGAUAAGAUCCCUUACAUAGUAGUCCGCUUAAAAUUUAUGUAAAACUUACUAUAGGUAAAAGCUCCAUGUUCUUGCUAGCAUGGUCUUUUCCAAAAGGGUAUCUUAUGCUGUCUAAUAUUGCUCGAAAAUGUGAAAUGCUCCUGGUCGUAACGUAAAACCCUUUUUCAGUCAACAAAUAAUUCCGAAACUCAGCCGUAGUAAUAUAAAUGGAACGAGCAACGUCUUUAGCAUCGCCAUCGGAUUCCUGAAUUAGACAUUGUAUGUUUCUAGCAUGAGAUAACAAAGCGACCGUUCUAACUGUUAGCCAUAAAA